This 467-nucleotide ribosomal RNA is filed under the name uncultured bacterium. RNAcentral describes it as "partial 16S ribosomal RNA". It matches the Rfam family "Bacterial small subunit ribosomal RNA", at positions 29 to 507 of the family's 1533-position model. The record is from RNAcentral.
AUGAACGCUGGCGGCGUGCUUAACACAUGCAAGUCGAACGGUGAACACGGAGCUUGCUCUGUGGGAUCAGUGGCGAACGGGUGAGUAACACGUGAGCAACCUGCCCCUGACUCUGGGAUAAGCGCUGGAAACGGCGUCUAAUACUGGAUAUGUGACGUGAUCGCAUGGUCUGCGUCUGGAAAGAAUUUCGGUUGGGGAUGGGCUCGCGGCCUAUCAGCUUGUUGGUGAGGUAAUGGCUCACCAAGGCGUCGACGGGUAGCCGGCCUGAGAGGGUGACCGGCCACACUGGGACUGAGACACGGCCCAGACUCCUACGGGAGGCAGCAGUGGGGAAUAUUGCACAAUGGGCGCAAGCCUGAUGCAGCAACGCCGCGUGAGGGAUGACGGCCUUCGGGUUGUAAACCUCUUUUAGCAGGGAAGAAGCGAAAGUGACGGUACCUGCAGAAAAAGCGCCGGCUAACUACGUG